This 360-nucleotide long non-coding RNA is filed under the name Homo sapiens (human). RNAcentral's name for it is "non-protein coding lnc-PARL-2:1". Lineage: Eukaryota; Metazoa; Chordata; Mammalia; Primates; Hominidae. The record is from RNAcentral.
CUGCGCCCGGCGCCCGCGGGGUCUACGUGCUGCCCAUCGGCGACGCGGACGCGGCUGCAGCAGUGACCACGUCGUACAGGAAUAGCAAGAGCUUGGCUGCCUGGACCCCUGCCCCCAAUUCGGGCAGAAACACAGGAUCACUGUUGAACUUGACCCUCCCAGCGCCAUGCCAGUGGGCCUCUGGGACCCCCACCUUCCAGCUCUGGGACCUGAUACAAGCCACUCCCUCCAGCCUUGUCUUGUAAGAUGUACAUCAUCUAAGCAAACUUAAGAAAUUCAGAAAGCCAAGGAAACGAACAGAGCCAGGAAUCCUGAAGAUGUGAGGCCACUCCUAACUCAAGGUUCUUGAGGGAGUACCCA